Molecule: long non-coding RNA, 166 nt
Organism: Impatiens glandulifera
Lineage: Eukaryota; Viridiplantae; Streptophyta; Magnoliopsida; Ericales; Balsaminaceae
Exons: 3
Source: RefSeq, a predicted model, not a curated record
AUCCACCCAAGCUCUAGUAUAGCCCAAAUAUGAAGUGUUCUUUAGUUAGUGCCCAGUUGUCUCAAUUAUGAAUUCUCUAGACAAUGAUCUUCUGAUGGAGCAGCUUAUCUAGUCAAUUAGGUACCAUUAUCUAUGUCAACCAGGGAUAAGGAAAACAUAAUGGAUC